RNAcentral lists this ribosomal RNA (607 nucleotides) under Paenibacillus urinalis. Its description in RNAcentral is "bacterial SSU rRNA". It matches the Rfam family "Bacterial small subunit ribosomal RNA", at positions 61 to 650 of the family's 1533-position model. Lineage: Bacteria; Bacillati; Bacillota; Bacilli; Caryophanales; Paenibacillaceae. The record is from RNAcentral.
GUCGAGCGGAGUAAGGUGAAACUUGUUUCACCUAGCUUAGCGGCGGACGGGUGAGUAACACGUAGGUAACCUGCCCAUAAGACUGGGAUAACUACCGGAAACGGUAGCUAAUACCGGAUAGGUUCUUCUCUCGCAUGGGAGGGGAAAGAAAGACGGAGCAAUCUGUCACUUAUGGAUGGACCUGCGGCGCAUUAUCUAGUUGGUGAGGUAACGGCUCACCAAGGCGACAAUGCGUAGCCGACCUGAGAGGGUGAUCGGCCACACUGGGACUGAGACACGGCCCANACUCCUACGGGAGGCAGCAGUAGGGAAUCUUCCGCAAUGGGCGAAAGCCUGACGGAGCAACGCCGCGUGAGUGAUGAAGGUUUUCGGAUCGUAAAGCUCUGUUGCCAGGGAAGAACGUCUCUUANAGUAACUGCUAAAAGAGUGACGGUACCUGAGAAAAAAGCCCCGGCUAACUACGUGCCACCAGCCGCGGUAAUACGUAGGGGGCAAGCGUUGUCCGGAAUUAUUGGGCGUAAAGCGCGCGCAGGCGGUCAUUUAAGUUGGGUGUUUAACCCCAGGGCUCAACCCUGGGUCGCACCCAAAACUGGAUGACUUGAGUGCA